Molecule: ribosomal RNA, 468 nt
Filed under: uncultured bacterium
Lineage: Bacteria
Description: partial 16S ribosomal RNA
Rfam family: Bacterial small subunit ribosomal RNA
Source: RNAcentral
GACGAACGCUGGCGGCGUGCUUAACACAUGCAAGUCGAACGGAAAGGCCCUGCUUUUGUGGGGUGCUCGAGUGGCGAACGGGUGAGUAACACGUGAGUAACCUGCCCUUGACUUUGGGAUAACUUCAGGAAACUGGGGCUAAUACCGGAUAGGAGCUCCUGCUGCAUGGUGGGGGUUGGAAAGUUUCGGCGGUUGGGGAUGGACUCGCGGCUUAUCAGCUUGUUGGUGGGGUAGUGGCUUACCAAGGCUUUGACGGGUAGCCGGCCUGAGAGGGUGACCGGCCACAUUGGGACUGAGAUACGGCCCAGACUCCUACGGGAGGCAGCAGUGGGGAAUAUUGCACAAUGGGCGGAAGCCUGGUGCAGCAACGCCGCGUGCGGGAUGACGGCCUUCGGGUUGUAAACCGCUUUCGCCUGUGACGAAGCGUGAGUGACGGUAAUGGGUAAAGAAGCACCGGCUGACUACGUG